UUGUAAAACCCUUUGUUUCUCCUCGCGCUCUUGCCUUCGAGCAAUUUCUCUUCAAUUUGAAAUUUGGCAACAUUUCAGUCUGUGAGUCUGUUGUUGACUUGUUGUGACGCUAUCCAUCCUCCAACAGGGAAUGAAUUUUUUCAAGUUUUUUUUCUGUAAAUACAUUUUCUUUUUUUUUUAAUUUGUGGAAUCAACUCGCCAUUUACUACUCUGGAAUUGAAUCCCCUAUCAAGAUUCCAACUAAUAUCCUUACUAUAUAGUGGAUUCAUCAAAUCUGUUUUAAACUAGCUUGUUUGAGAAGUGAACCUUUAUCGAUAAGUCCUAACAUCUCAUAUGGAUCUUCACAUCAGCUCUUGCCCCAACUGUGGCCCGUUUCUCAUGUCUAGGCUACAUCACAGCUUCUUCAGCAAUUAGUCUUCAUGGUGACAUAAAGAAAUUUACCUACAUCAGCUUGAUCUGAAAAUCAGCUUUAGUCCCCGCUUCUGAUCUGUUUAGCACAGCUGUUCAUCUCAGCCAAAUCUGCACAUCAACCGAGACAUCAACUAUACAGCCAACACUCAUCUAAUACACUGUCCUCAGUUAUAUUAACCAUAUUAUAUUGUAUUGUAUUAUUGUUAUAUUAUUGUCCCAGUUUACACAUAACUUUGUAUGCUGUGAAUUCUGAUGCUGUCUAAUGAUUUCCAAUUAAAAAGCAGCGUGUUUAUCUCAUAAUAUGUUUCCAUCAUAAUUAUGUGUAAAAUUGUGCUGUUUCUUGUUCGAUUGAGACAUGUUGUUUUUAAAUACAGAAUAUAGCAUGGUCAGACUUGACUGAUGAUGCUUUUUCCUACAAA
This is a long non-coding RNA of Daphnia magna, 830 nucleotides long. RefSeq lists it as uncharacterized. Lineage: Eukaryota; Metazoa; Arthropoda; Branchiopoda; Diplostraca; Daphniidae. The transcript is spliced from 3 exons. The record is from RefSeq and is a predicted model, not a curated record.